This is a non-coding RNA of Pelobates cultripes (western spadefoot toad), 279 nucleotides long. Lineage: Eukaryota; Metazoa; Chordata; Amphibia; Anura; Pelobatidae. The record is from the annotation of a GenBank genome assembly.
GGGAGAAGAGCAUGAUGGAGGGGCUGGGUAGAGGGGGAGCAUCAUGGAGGGGCUGGGGAGGGGGGAGAGCACCUCAUGAUGGAGGGGGGAGCGUCAUGGAGGGGUGGGGGAGCACCCCCCUCCCCAGCCCCUCCAUGAUGCUCCCCCUCUACCCAGCCCCUCCAUCAUGCUCUUCUCCCUCCCCUGCCCCUCCAUGAUGCUCUUCCCUCUCUCCAUCAUGCUCUCCCCCCUCCCCAGCCCCUCCAUGACGCUCCCCCCUCCAUCAUGCUCCCCCAGUGG